CCUACGGGAGGCAGCAGUGGGGAAUAUUGCACAAUGGGGGAAACCCUGAUGCAGCGACGCCGCGUGAGUGAGGAAGUAUUUCGGUAUGUAAAGCUCUAUCAGCAGGGAAGAAAAUGCAGGUACCUGACUACGAAGCCCCGGCUGACUACGUGCCAGCAGCCGCGGUAAUACGUAGGGGGCAAGCGUUAUCCGGAUUUACUGGGUUUAAAGGGAGCGUAGACGGUGAAGCAAGUCAGAAGUGAAAACCCAGGGCUCAACUUUGGGACUGCUUUUGAAAAUGAGUAUCUAGAGUGCAGGAGGGGUAAGCGGAAUUCCUAGUGUAGCGGUGAAAUGCGUAGAGAUUAGGAGGAACGCCAGUUGCGAAGGCGGCUUACUGGACUGUAACUGACGUUGAGGCUCGAAAGCGUGGGUAUCAAACAGGAUUAGAUACCCUAGUAGUC
RNAcentral lists this ribosomal RNA (440 nucleotides) under uncultured bacterium. RNAcentral describes it as "partial 16S ribosomal RNA". It matches the Rfam family "Bacterial small subunit ribosomal RNA", at positions 338 to 795 of the family's 1533-position model. The record is from RNAcentral.